CACUGGUCCUCAGCCCUUCCCUAUUUAAAGGGAUUUGAAGCAAAAUCGCCCAAACUCUUCCCGGCAACUACAGCUACGAGAAAAUGUCAGCUGGCGAUGAAUCUUCUUGCGAUUACUCGCGUCUCUACCUUCUGAUCCACGAAACCCUCCUUCCGCAUAUUGAAUUCGAGAUGAUUGUUUUGACGAAAGAGAAGGAGAAAGAUCUUCUUAUUGCUCUUUCUCAGGUUUUCAGGAAGAUUCAGAUGUGGACGUGUGAACUUGAUGAAAAUUCAGAUGAGGAUGUGGCAGAAAAAGCUACCUGUGAGAAGAGAUGCUUGGAACUGCAAUCUUAUGGCCAUCCCUACUUAACUUAUAUUCUAGCUGACUUGGUAACUGUGCUGAAGAUUGACUGUCAAUAUGUGCAACAUUUGGCUGGCAAUGUUCUUGUAAUCAUUGCUGAAUUUUUAGCAGCUUCGGGCAGGAAAUGGAAUAUUUUCAUUCAGUUGUUAUGCAUUUGUCUGGAGUUGGCAAUCGCGAACAUAUCCAUUUCUUUUGCACCUUCAACAGCUGGAGCUGAUGUCUCGUAUUUUGAUUCAUCAAGUUUUUUUGCAGUCGUAAGUCUUAAAUUGAAAAAUGCUACCUGGACCACCGUGGCAGGAAUUAUUCGAGUUUUACGCAGUAUAUUGAAAAAUAUAAAACAAGACUGUGAGAACCAACUUGUUGAAAUAUACGUACAUUCUAUCAGUUCUUGUAUUUUAAAUUUGCCUUGGGAUUCUUUGGAUGGCAAUAUUCUUGGUCAGAAAGACGAUGCACCAAGAAGAGGUAUCGAGUCUUUUCUUAUCAACAAUGUGGAUGAAAAUGAGCCAAGAGUGAUCUUUCUGGGGAAUUUAAUUCAGUUGCUCUGUUCAUUGGUUGAGCAAAUAAUUUUCAUGCAAGUAAAAGGUGGUUCACUGGAAUGCUCGGUUUUACGCAUAAUCGUUAAUCUCAUACCUAAACUUCUAUCUUGGUGCCUCGGCAAGCAAGGGGAUUGUGUUAACAUGCCAGUCUCUGAGUACUUCAGACACAAGCUACUGAUGCUAAUGAUCAGACUUAGUUUCCAAAAUUGCCUGGAAUAUUCCAUUUUUGUUUCAUGGUUGCAACUUCUCCAUCAGUUCUAUCCAGAAUUUCUGUUGAAACCCAUAGCUGAAAGUGAGUCUGUUCCAAAGGACAGUCUCGAAGGUUCUCCAUUUCUUUCUGGCAUUUCUGAUGGAGAAUUAUACGGAAUGCAUUCUUGUCAUUUACAAAGACAGGCUAUUUUCCUUUUCUUAAGGUGUUCUAUCAGCUUGAUUAAUCAGAAAGGAGAAACUGACAAGCAUAGUGAAUAUGCAACUCCCAACUCAUGCUUGACCUUUGGCUCAAGUUCAGACUUGGAUUCUUGCAGUAGGAAGAAAGGCUUAUCAGAGCUACAUAAAUGGCUUCAAAAGCAGCUUCCAAAUGAUAUGAUUGUUGACUACAGAAGGUAUUGGGGGACGUGUAUCAAUUUUUCCACAGCCUUCCUCCAACUAUUUAUGCAUGAGGAUGAUUUGCUAUUUAAAGUGCUCUUUGAACUGCUCAGUGUACCGUUGUCUACAGAAGAAAAGUUUCAUGAAGAAAAUUGGGCAUGUCAGGAUGUGAAAGAAAAUAUUGUUUUUCAUGUGUCCAACAUUUUCAAUCCUGUACAUAUAUUCCAUCUAUUCCUGGCAGAGUUGCACUAUGAUCACGAAGUGCUACUUGAUUACCUUAUAUCAAAAGACACGGGAGUCAGUUGUGCAGAGUAUCUUUUAAGGUGCUUGCGUAUAAUAUGUAAUUCGUGGCACUUAUUUGUGGAAUUCUCUGUAAAUGAGCAAACUAUAAGUCAAACAUCUUGCAAGAAAAGAAAAACUAUAUUUGACGCUGAUUCUCAGCCAAGGCUAUCAUCUGCAUCUGUGAUGGAUGUUCUUCCCUCGAGGGAGAAGGAAAGGAGAAAAGGUGAUGAAAUUGGCUGCAAACACUAUAAAACUAGCGGCCAGCCUUUCAAGGAAGGCAAAGAUUGUUUGCUUUCCUUGAAAAAAUCUGUGGAAAAUCUUCAUGGGAAGAAUUUAUUUCCAUACAAUCCUGAAGUAUUACUCAAACGUUUGACAAGAUUUCAGGAGCUCUGCUUUAUACAAUGGAACUACGACCAAGCAAGGACAGCAAGAACUUCGUAAGAACUUGAGCUCGCUGAGAAAAAAUGUAAAUGUCUUACAAUUGGCUUGAAGAAUGAGCGAAUCAAAUGAUUUCUCUGAGGUGGUUAGACGCGCAUGGUAAUGUUUACCGUUACAAUCUAGAGAUGAUUGUAAAAAGUGCUGAAGAACUUUUGUUAAUGGGCCUGACAACUCUCAAACCUUCACACUUUGUGAGCUCCAGUUCAUAUCAUCCCAGACGUAUCAGUUUCUUACACUAGUGGCUGGCUAAUCUGUGCAUUUUGGUGUAUUUAAUGAAUCCGAAGGACAGGAUAAUAGCAAGAUACUAGCCACUUUUCUGGUCAAAUCUUUGCCAUUCUAUGGCGAUGCUAGCGUGCUAGAGGAAACAGUGCUCAACAAGGAGAAUACGAAUCAGUUUGUCGAGUUUAUAUUGCCUGUGACCAGCACUACACAAUGAGGAAUUUUCAGAGAUUGGACAAUCGAGGACUACCCGAGGGAUGAGGUGAAGGUAAUCUCUGGAUCCAAUCCAUUGGUCAUAUUGACCAAACUCUUAAGAGCUCUAUUUAAGCCUUCUGGACAUCUUAGAAAAAUUAUCUUGAUAAGCCUGCAUGGUCAUGUUCUUAAAACAACAGAGUUGAACGGCACCCAGCUGAUUCUCUCUGUUUAAACACGUUAAUCGCAUGACCAAACAUACAUGUAGACCUUAUGAUAUCUACAUUCUACACGAGACAAUCACAAAGCUCUCGUGUCUUCGAAUUCGUAGGCAUAUGAUCUGCCCCCUUAAUCUCCAGCACGUCUUGAAUUGGACUGUUAUGGAUCAUCCAACGCUGGAACUCAACUGGUAUAGCUUUAUCUUCAUCGCACAGAACAUACACCCCGUGUUACUAAUACUGCCCCAUAACCUUCAUUGUAGAACUAGUUUAUCUUAGCCAAGAGACCCCAGAGUUAUUAAUUGUCCGGUCGACAGGGCUCCUACGUUUGGGCCUUUUGGGCUUUGGGGAUUGGCCCAUUGGAAUUAUUAAACACGUUCGCAAUCCUCUUGCCUAUUCCAGUCAUUCCGGCAUGUUUUAAAGGUCAAUAAUCGAUAAAUACAGUCACAGAUAGACAAGACGACAAGAAUUAAGGGAAGGCUGUUGAACGGAAAGCAACCGUCCCUAAACGACGCCGUUCUUCAUGAAGCGCUUCAUACAGCGCUUACAGGCGACGCCGGAUUUGUCGUAUUCACCUUCUAGAAUUGAGCAUCUUCCUUGGCAAAUGUCAAAGUCGUGUACAUUCACUGUUACAGAUAUUAAUUCGUCAGCGACCAGAAAAGGAAGGCUCGAGUGAAGGCACUCGUUUGGCGAGUUGUGACUGACUCGUCGCUUCUCCAACUCAUCUGUGUUCAGUAAUGUGAUUCAGCCGAGUCAGAUGGGCCUGUGUUUAACGUCCUGAGUUGCUAUGAGAUUUGAAAGAAAUUAUGUCGUUCUAGCUCUAUUGCUUUCGUCGAGUUAGAAGCGUAGGCGGAUAGUGAUAAUGGAUCGGGCGACGAUUACUGGCGGGCCUGGUAUGGACAUGCCGAUUAUGCACGAUAGCGACCGGUAUGACUUAGUUCGCGAUAUCGGCUCGGGAAAUUUCGGUGUAGCGAGGCUCAUGAGUCAUGAGAGACAAGGUCACCGAGGAGCUUGUUGCUGUGAAGUAUAUUGAGAGAGGCGAUAAGAUUGUUGCAGAGGCUACCAUACCGGCUACCAUACACUACAGUGUUAGUAUCGUGGGGAUAUGAAUCUUUGUAGAUCACAGGACGUGUGUGGAAUAUCUGGCAGAUUAACAUCAUUGCAUCAUUCACAACCUCACAAAGAGCAGCAUAUGCUCCUUGAAUAUGUGUUCUUCACAGUUUGCAGGAUUUAUACCUUAGCACAGAGGAAUUUAUUUAAUGAUUAAUGUGGCAGGUGGUAGAAACUUGGGUGUAUUGCAUAUUCCCUUGAACCUUAUUUAUGUAUAAUUUGUUGAAUUAGUUGUGUCCUCUGAGUGUUUAUUGGUCUGGCUGGACAAGCAUGUAUGUAUAAUAUAUCAGACUUCAGGUUCUGUAAGUUCCUCUAUAUUGAUGGUGACUCCUA
This is an RNA transcript of Tripterygium wilfordii, 4252 nucleotides long. RefSeq lists it as uncharacterized. Lineage: Eukaryota; Viridiplantae; Streptophyta; Magnoliopsida; Celastrales; Celastraceae. The transcript is spliced from 15 exons. The record is from RefSeq and is a predicted model, not a curated record.